GCGUCGAGCGGCGGACGGGUGAGUAAUGCCUAGGAAAUUGCCCUGAUGUGGGGGAUAACCAUUGGAAACGAUGGCUAAUACCGCAUGAUGCCUACGGGCCAAAGAGGGGGACCUUCGGGCCUCUCGCGUCAGGAUAUGCCUAGGUGGGAUUAGCUAGUUGGUGAGGUAAGGGCUCACCAAGGCGACGAUCCCUAGCUGGUCUGAGAGGAUGAUCAGCCACACUGGAACUGAGACACGGUCCAGACUCCUACGGGAGGCAGCAGUGGGGAAUAUUGCACAAUGGGCGCAAGCCUGAUGCAGCCAUGCCGCGUGUGUGAAGAAGGCCUUCGGGUUGUAAAGCACUUUCAGUCGUGAGGAAGGUGGUGUAGUUAAUAGCUGCAUUAUUUGACGUUAGCGACAGAAGAAGCACCGGCUAACUCCGUGCCAGCAGCCGCGGUAAUACGGAGGGUGCGAGCGUUAAUCGGAAUUACUGGGCGUAAAGCGCAUGCAGGUGGUUUGUUAAGUCAGAUGUGAAAGCCCGGGGCUCAACCUCGGAAUAGCAUUUGAAACUGGCAGACUAGAGUACUGUAGAGGGGGGUAGAAUUUCAGGUGUAGCGGUGAAAUGCGUAGAGAUCUGAAGGAAUACCGGUGGCGAAGGCGGCCCCCUGGACAGAUACUGACACUCAGAUGCGAAAGCGUGGGGAGCAAACAGGAUUAGAUACCCUGGUAGUCCACGCCGUAAACGAUGUCUACUUGGAGGUUGUGGCCUUGAGCCGUGGCUUUCGGAGCUAACGCGUUAAGUAGACCGCCUGGGGAGUACGGUCGCAAGAUUAAAACUCAAAUGAAUUGACGGGGGCCCGCACAAGCGGUGGAGCAUGUGGUUUAAUUCGAUGCAACGCGAAGAACCUUACCUACUCUUGACAUCCAGAGAACUUUCCAGAGAUGGAUUGGUGCCUUCGGGAACUCUGAGACAGGUGCUGCAUGGCUGUCGUCAGCUCGUGUUGUGAAAUGUUGGGUUAAGUCCCGCAACGAGCGCAACCCUUAUCCUUGUUUGCCAGCGAGUAAUGUCGGGAACUCCAGGGAGACUGCCGGUGAUAAACCGGAGGAAGGUGGGGACGACGUCAAGUCAUCAUGGCCCUUACGAGUAGGGCUACACACGUGCUACAAUGGCGCAUACAGAGGGCGGCCAACUUGCGAAAGUGAGCGAAUCCCAAAAAGUGCGUCGUAGUCCGGAUUGGAGUCUGCAACUCGACUCCAUGAAGUCGGAAUCGCUAGUAAUCGUGGAUCAGAAUGCCACGGUGAAUACGUUCCCGGGCCUUGUACACACCGCCCGUCACACCAUGGGAGUGGGCUGCAAAAGAAGUAGUGUAGUU
Molecule: ribosomal RNA, 1352 nt
Filed under: Vibrio sp.
Lineage: Bacteria; Pseudomonadati; Pseudomonadota; Gammaproteobacteria; Vibrionales; Vibrionaceae
Description: bacterial SSU rRNA
Rfam family: Bacterial small subunit ribosomal RNA
Source: RNAcentral